GGUCUGCUAGCGCAAUGGCAGCGCACCUGUUUCCGGAGCAGGAGGUUGUCGGUUCGAGUCCGGCGCAGAUCG
RNAcentral lists this transfer RNA (72 nucleotides) under Auricularia subglabra TFB-10046 SS5. It matches the Rfam family "tRNA". From Rfam's summary of the family: Transfer RNA (tRNA) molecules are approximately 80 nucleotides in length. The record is from Rfam by way of RNAcentral. Lineage: Eukaryota; Fungi; Basidiomycota; Agaricomycetes; Auriculariales; Auriculariaceae.